AUACGGGGGGUGCAAGCGUUAUUCGGAAUCACUGGGCGUAAAGGGCGCGCAGGCGGUUUGGUAAGUCAGAUGUGAAAGCCCGGGGCUCAACCCCGGAAGUGCAUUUGAUACUGCCUGACUUGAGUAUGAGAGAGGGAAGUGGAAUUCCUGGUGUAGAGGUGAAAUUCGUAGAUAUCAGGAGGAACACCGGUGGCGAAGGCGACUUCCUGGACCAAUACUGACGCUGAGGCGCGAAGGCGUGGGGAGCAAACAGGAUUAGAAACCCUAGUAGUCC
This 274-nucleotide ribosomal RNA is filed under the name uncultured bacterium. Its description in RNAcentral is "partial 16S ribosomal RNA". It matches the Rfam family "Bacterial small subunit ribosomal RNA", at positions 523 to 796 of the family's 1533-position model. The record is from RNAcentral.